GAUGAACGCUGGCGGCGUGCCUAAUACAUGCAAGUCGAGCGAACAGAUGAGGAGCUUGCUCCUCUGACGUUAGCGGCGGACGGGUGAGUAACACGUGGAUAACCUACCUAUAAGACUGGGAUAACUUCGGGAAACCGGAGCUAAUACCGGAUAAUAUAUUGAACCGCAUGGUUCAAUAGUGAAAGACGGUCUUGCUGUCACUUAUAGAUGGAUCCGCGCCGCAUUAGCUAGUUGGUAAGGUAACGGCUUACCAAGGCAACGAUGCGUAGCCGACCUGAGAGGGUGAUCGGCCACACUGGAACUGAGACACGGUCCAGACUCCUACGGGAGGCAGCAGCAGGGAAUCUUCCGCAAUGGGCGAAAGCCUGACGGAGCAACGCCGCGUGAGUGAUGAAGGUCUUCGGAUCGUAAAACUCUGUUAUUAGGGAAGAACAAAUGUGUAAGUAACUAUGCACGUCUUGACGGUACCUAAUCAGAAAGCCACGGCUAACUACGUG
Molecule: ribosomal RNA, 497 nt
Filed under: uncultured bacterium
Lineage: Bacteria
Description: partial 16S ribosomal RNA
Rfam family: Bacterial small subunit ribosomal RNA
Source: RNAcentral